GCCCCAUAAGAGCAGGGGCAGUCUAACAUGGCUGGCGCAGACGUUUCUAAUCACGGACCACUACUGUAAAUAUUCUCUAGUCCCGGCCAGUCUCCGAUCUGUGAAGCUAGUGUAUGAGCCUCAUCUGCUUUCUGGAACCCUGGUCCUCCACUUGCGUUCUUGCCUCCUCGCUUGGGAUGCCAGCGGUAACGGGACUGGCUCCCCGUUCUGAUUCUGAACAAGGUUACAGGCCAGUAUGGACUUCACUGCCCAGACUGGAAGUGAACUAGGAGGAAGGGACUGGGAAGAGCAUCUCCAAACACACCCAGAACUGCCGUUGGGUUAUACAUGGACUCUUGGAAGAGAACAGCUACAGGUUUUCAGCGAGGGCUUGAUGGGAGAAAAAGGGAAAAAAGGCUGGACUUCGCUGCGGCUCAUAGUCUCCAGGCAGGAUUCUUGAAGCACACAGGUUGUAACACCCCUACAGCUACCUCGAGGACUUCCUUUAAUGUUUCACCACCAGAGCUUCGUUCUGCUUCCACAAGAGGCUAUGCCAUGCUUCAAAACACUGCAACAGAAAGAAGAGGGGAAAAAAAAAAGAUUUCUAGACAAUCCAGUCUGCAUGAAAUACCUAGGGCAAUUCCUGGCACCAAAGAGGUGUUGAGUGUAAGUUAAAUGGAUUUUUUUAUGUGAUUAUUGAAAAUGUCUUCUACGCCUUCUUCACAAAUACUCACUAUCCCCAAACAAACUACGUUUGUCAACACCAAGGUCGAAACAGUACCACAAAAGAGAAGAUUUCUCUGCUGGGGGGGGGGGGAGCGCGAGGGGGGAAUUUAUGGCUCGAUCUGUGAGUCGUUUGUAAUAAAAUAUCUAAAAAUAUAUGCCUCA
This 867-nucleotide long non-coding RNA is filed under the name Felis catus (domestic cat). Its description in RNAcentral is "lncRNA (ENSFCAG00000040299.2)". Lineage: Eukaryota; Metazoa; Chordata; Mammalia; Carnivora; Felidae. The record is from RNAcentral.